UAAGAAGUGAUACUUUUUCUU
This 21-nucleotide non-coding RNA is filed under the name Caenorhabditis elegans. Lineage: Eukaryota; Metazoa; Nematoda; Chromadorea; Rhabditida; Rhabditidae. The record is from RNAcentral.